This 465-nucleotide ribosomal RNA is filed under the name Vreelandella stevensii. Its description in RNAcentral is "partial 16S ribosomal RNA". It matches the Rfam family "Bacterial small subunit ribosomal RNA", at positions 338 to 795 of the family's 1533-position model. Lineage: Bacteria; Pseudomonadati; Pseudomonadota; Gammaproteobacteria; Oceanospirillales; Halomonadaceae. The record is from RNAcentral.
CCUACGGGCGGCAGGAGUGGGGAAUAUUGGACAAUGGGCGAAAGCCUGAUCCAGCCAUGCCGCGUGUGUGAAGAAGGCCUUCGGGUUGUAAAGCACUUUCAGUGGGGAAGAAAGCCUUGGGGCUAAUACCCUCGAGGAAGGACAUCACCCACAGAAGAAGCACCGGCUAACUCCGUGCCAGCAGCCGCGGUAAUACGGAGGGUGCGAGCGUUAAUCGGAAUUACUGGGCGUAAAGCGCGCGUAGGCGGUCUGAUAAGCCGGUUGUGAAAGCCCCGGGCUCAACCUGGGAACGGCAUCCGGAACUGUCAGGCUAGAGUGCAGGAGAGGAAGGUAGAAUUCCCGGUGUAGCGGUGAAAUGCGUAGAGAUCGGGAGGAAUACCAGUGGCGAAGGCGGCCUUCUGGACUGACACUGACGCUGAGGUGCGAAAGCGUGGGUAGCAAACAGGAUUAGAUACCCCAGUAGUC